RNAcentral lists this transfer RNA (54 nucleotides) under Habronattus hallani. RNAcentral describes it as "tRNA-Leu". The record is from RNAcentral. Lineage: Eukaryota; Metazoa; Arthropoda; Arachnida; Araneae; Salticidae.
UAAUUAAUUAAUUGGCAGAAAAAUGCAUUAGAAUUAGAAUCUAAUCAAACUUUA